This 330-nucleotide long non-coding RNA is filed under the name Jatropha curcas. Its description in RNAcentral is "long non-coding RNA (JCUR_LNC001216)". The record is from RNAcentral. Lineage: Eukaryota; Viridiplantae; Streptophyta; Magnoliopsida; Malpighiales; Euphorbiaceae.
AAGAAUACAUUUUUUGCACCUUACUACCUCAAGAUCAUGCAGCAGAAGACUGUAGGGUGAUUUGAAAAAUUCUAAAAAAGACUCUAGUGAGUGAUUCUGUGCUACAACAGGUCAAUUCUUGUGUAAUUUGUAUGGUUGGUUUGCUUUCGAUCUUGAAUUGUUUUCGCUGCUUAAUUCCCAACUUCCAUCAAUUGAUAUUAAAGUCAUUCGAAACUCGUAUGAAGGUGACCUGUUCACCAAUUAUUUUUUAUCAUAUUUUCGUUAGAUUAUUUUAUCUUUCGUAUAGUAUAUGAUGAUUGUUUUUUUGUAUAUAAUUGUAUUGUGUUUCCG